CCCUCGUUGGGCCGAACCGCUACCUGCUUCACGACCUUGUGGAGUACGUCUACGGCGUGGCGCACCGGCCCUUUAUACCCUACCCUCUGCCACGCCCGCUCUACCACCUGGUUGCCAGGAUUUUUGCUAUGAACCCGUUGAACCCUGGACGACCCCGGACAAAU
Molecule: long non-coding RNA, 164 nt
Organism: Poeciliopsis prolifica (blackstripe livebearer)
Lineage: Eukaryota; Metazoa; Chordata; Actinopteri; Cyprinodontiformes; Poeciliidae
Exons: 3
Source: RefSeq, a predicted model, not a curated record